CUCUAUGGUCAUAUCACCCUGAAUGCGUCUGAUGUCAUCUGAUCUCAGAAGUUAAGCAGGAUCAGGCCUGGUUAGUACUUAGAGGGAAGUUAUGAUAAUCUUAAAAGGACAAUAGCAGGUGUUGAUGAGG
Molecule: ribosomal RNA, 130 nt
Organism: Colobus angolensis palliatus
Lineage: Eukaryota; Metazoa; Chordata; Mammalia; Primates; Cercopithecidae
Source: Ensembl